Molecule: unclassified non-coding RNA, 190 nt
Filed under: plant metagenome
Description: partial contains small subunit ribosomal RNA, internal transcribed spacer 1, and 5.8S ribosomal RNA
Rfam family: Eukaryotic small subunit ribosomal RNA (bases 1-53)
Source: RNAcentral
GGAAGUAAAAGCGUAACAAGGUUUCCGUAGGUGAACCUGCGGAAGGAUCAUUAGUGAACGCCCUCACGGGCUUAUAACUAUUCCAAACCUCUGUGAACCGUGCCCUUCGGGGCUAUUUUACAAACAUGGUGUAAUGAACGUCAUAUAUCAUAACAAAACAAAACUUUCAACAACGGAUCUCUUGGCUCUC